GACGAACGCUGGCGGCGUGCCUAAUACAUGCAAGUCGAGCGAAGUUUUUCUGGUGCUUGCACUAGAAAAACUUAGCGGCGAACGGGUGAGUAACACGUAAAGAACCUGCCUCAUAGACUGGGACAACUAUUGGAAACGAUAGCUAAUACCGGAUAACAGUAUUUCUCGCAUGAGAGAUAUUUAAAAGUUGGUUAUGCUAACACUAUGAGAUGGCUUUGCGGUGCAUUAGCUAGUUGGCGGGGUAAAGGCCCACCAAGGCGACGAUGCAUAGCCGACCUGAGAUGGUGAUCGGCCACACUGGGACUGAGACACGGCCCAGCCUCCUACGGGAUGCAGCAGUAGGGAAUCUUCCGCAAUGGGCGAACGCCUGACGGAGCAACGCCGCGUGAGUGAAGAAGGAUUUCGGUUCGUAAAGCUCUGUUGUUAGGGAAGAAUGGAUAUGUAGUAACUAUACAUGUAAGAGACGGUACCUAACCAGAAAGCCACGGCUAACUACGUG
This 499-nucleotide ribosomal RNA is filed under the name uncultured bacterium. Its description in RNAcentral is "partial 16S ribosomal RNA". It matches the Rfam family "Bacterial small subunit ribosomal RNA", at positions 28 to 507 of the family's 1533-position model. The record is from RNAcentral.